This 84-nucleotide ribosomal RNA is filed under the name Rodentolepis nana. Lineage: Eukaryota; Metazoa; Platyhelminthes; Cestoda; Cyclophyllidea; Hymenolepididae. The record is from RNAcentral.
UCAAGCGACCAUACCUCAUAGAAAGCGUCGGGCCGAGUUAGUACUUGCAUGGGUGACCGGCUGGGAAUACCCGGUGUUGCUGAC